GGUAGUCGAGAGCUGGUCGCUCAAACGCGUCUGAUAAGCGCGUGGCGCUGCGUUCGAUUCGCAGGGCUAUCAC
This 73-nucleotide transfer RNA is filed under the name Lacipirellula limnantheis. RNAcentral's name for it is "Planctomycetes bacterium I41 tRNA-Ile". Lineage: Bacteria; Pseudomonadati; Planctomycetota; Planctomycetia; Pirellulales; Lacipirellulaceae. The record is from RNAcentral.